RNAcentral lists this ribosomal RNA (253 nucleotides) under uncultured bacterium. RNAcentral describes it as "partial 16S ribosomal RNA". It matches the Rfam family "Bacterial small subunit ribosomal RNA", at positions 524 to 776 of the family's 1533-position model. The record is from RNAcentral.
UACGUAGGGGGCAAGCGUUGUCCGGAAUCAUUGGGCGUAAAGAGCGUGUAGGCGGUUCGGUAAGUCGGCUGUGAAAGUCCAGGGCUCAACCCUGGGAUGCCGGUCGAUACUGCCGGACUAGAGUUCGGAAGAGGCGAGUGGAAUUCCCGGUGUAGCGGUGAAAUGCGCAGAUAUCGGGAGGAACACCUAUGGCGAAGGCAGCUCGCUGGGACGUUACUGACGCUGAGACGCGAAAGCCAGGGGAGCAAACGGG